Molecule: ribosomal RNA, 459 nt
Filed under: uncultured bacterium
Lineage: Bacteria
Description: partial 16S ribosomal RNA
Rfam family: Bacterial small subunit ribosomal RNA
Source: RNAcentral
CCUACGGGGGGCAGCAGUGAGGAAUAUUGGUCAAUGGGCGCGAGCCUGAACCAGCCAAGUCGCGUGAGGGAAGACGGUCCUAUGGAUUGUAAACCUCUUUUGUCGGGGAGCAAAAGACGCCACGCGUGGCGUUCCGAGAGUACCCUACGAACAAGCAUCGGCUAACUCCGUGCCAGCAGCCGCGGUAAUACGGAGGAUGCGAGCGUUAUCCGGAUUUAUUGGGUUUAAAGGGUGCGCAGGCGGAAGAUCAAGUCAGCGGUAAAAUUGAGAGGCUCAACCUCUUCGAGCCGUUGAAACUGGUGUUCUUGAGUGAGCGAGAAGUAUGCGGAAUGUGUGGUGUAGCGGUGAAAUGCAUAGAUAUCACGCAGAACUCCGAUUGCGAAGGCAGCAUACCGGCGCUCAACUGACGCUCAUGCACGAAAGUGUGGGUAUCGAACAGGAUUAGAUACCCGGGUAGUC